This is a long non-coding RNA of Cercocebus atys (sooty mangabey), 999 nucleotides long. RefSeq lists it as uncharacterized. NCBI's taxonomy places the organism in Eukaryota, Metazoa, Chordata, Mammalia, Primates, Cercopithecidae. The transcript is spliced from 2 exons. The record is from RefSeq and is a predicted model, not a curated record.
AGAUCAUGCCACUGUACUCCAGCUUGGACGACAGAGCAAGACUUCAUCUCAAAGAAAGAAAAAAAAAGAUUGAUGGAGGUGACGCCGGCCCCUGCUCUCAGAAAUCCUCCCAUCUAAGAGUCUGUCAUGAGGGGUGAGCCCUGGGGGACCUGGAUGGAACCCAGAACGCCUUCUUGGAGGACAGUGCGCUGACCCUGGGGAGGAACAGGCAGGCAGAGGUGGCAACAUGCAGGGUCAGGAAGAGGCAAAAGCUACUCAGCUAUAGGAAGAGGCAGUCCUGGCAGGCUGUGGAGGGAGGAGAGCCCUCAGUCAGGCUGAAUUCAAAUAAGGGACUGCUUUUCUGCCUUGGUUUCCCCACAACCACCACCAGGCGCCAAGAAGAGAUCAGAAGGUAAACCACUGAUCCAAGGCUGCAGAGACUGAACUGUCAGAAUGUUCAGCCUCCAGGAGCUGAGAGCUCUGGUCUUUUGGAAGCUCCUUGGGAGUGUCUGAGCGCCUGGCUUACACGGCCACAGCAUGUGGAUCAAGCCUUCGCUUUGCUUCCUGCCAUGUCCUGGGUUCCCAAAGCAGCUUCCUCCUCUGCCCUCGGUUUGUCCCCUCCACACAGGCCUGGGGAAUGGAGUAAGGCCGUUCCCCCUGUGACCUCUGUGAGCUGGAGCGUGGCCUAGGUCCUUCUGUUAAUUUUCCUCAAGGCUGUGAACUUUGAAAGCCUAACACAUUUUAGGCUAAUGUCACCCAGCAAAGCAAGCAUCAAAGUGGCGGGUCGGGCCCUAAGCCCACGAUCGGCCACAAGAGGGCGCAUCACGUUUUCUCCAAGAGAAGCGGGGCUGCUGAUGAAGGACGGGCUCCCGGCCCCCUAGAGACCCUUCACCUCCUGGGAUCUUGCUCUAAGGAAGCCCGGUGCGAAGGAGGUGGCUUUCUCAGGUGGUCGCGCUAGAUGUCCAAGGCUUUAUGUUCGGUCAGAUGAGCUAUAUAAUAAAAUGAAAGUGUUAACUGGCA